This 253-nucleotide ribosomal RNA is filed under the name uncultured bacterium. RNAcentral describes it as "partial 16S ribosomal RNA". It matches the Rfam family "Bacterial small subunit ribosomal RNA", at positions 524 to 776 of the family's 1533-position model. The record is from RNAcentral.
UACAGAGGGUGCGAGCGUUAAUCGGAGUUACUGGGCGUAAAGGGCACGUAGGCGGUUAUAUUAGUCUGAUGUGAAAGACCUGGGCUUAACCUGGGAUGUGCAUUGGAAACGGUAUGGCUAGAGUUUGGGAGAGGGAAGUGGAAUUUCCGGAGUAGCGGUGAAAUGCGUAGAGAUCGGAAAGAACACUCGUGGCGAAGGCGGCUUUCUGGCCCAAAACUGACGCUGAGGUGCGAAAGCGUGGGGAGCAAACAGG